UAGCGUAUGACGGAUGCAUGACUUAUUUCUGCAGUAUUUCUCUAUGUUGCCAUGCUGCAUUUAGCGUAUGACGGAUGCAUGAUACUUGACGGAUGCAUGACUACCUGAUAUUUCUGAAGUAUGACGGAUGCAUGACUUCUCACUCGGAAGUUUAUCAACCCAUAGGCGAAGAUGGCCGAGGAGCGACUCCAUGGAGGCUUCUAAGGAAAGAAAUGCGCUGAUUUACUGAUCAACAAGUUGAUCUGUUGUGAGAGGCUCUACGCAGAGGAUGGACAUAACAAGGGACACGGUCGAGCCUCAUGUAGAGAUCUUCGGUGUCUUACUUUAUGCAUGUUUGAUUAUAUGAGUGCGUUACUUUUUUGAUGAUAUUAUCAUAUUUGAAGGAAUGAGAAGCAGAUGCUUUUUUUUUUGGUACCGCAAUGAAUAGACUUCCAAGCAGUUUCUUGGUCUGUCUUAGUCUGUCUAUCCUCAAAAUUAUUAUUGUACUUGUAUAAUUUGACACUGA
Hordeum vulgare subsp. vulgare (domesticated barley) is the source of this 505-nucleotide long non-coding RNA. RefSeq lists it as uncharacterized. The record is from RefSeq and is a predicted model, not a curated record. The transcript is spliced from 2 exons. Lineage: Eukaryota; Viridiplantae; Streptophyta; Magnoliopsida; Poales; Poaceae.